UGAGUAAUACAUCGGAACGUGUCUUCUAGUGGGGGAUAACUGCCCGAAAAGGACAGCUAAUACCGCAUGAGACCUGAGGGUGAAAGCGGGGGGAGUCGUAAGACCUCGCGCUGGAAGAGCGGCCGAUGUCCGAUUAGCUAGUUGGUGAGGUAAAGGCUCACCAAGGCGACGAUCGGUAGCUGGUCUGAGAGGACGACCAGCCACACUGGGACUGAGACACGGCCCAG
RNAcentral lists this ribosomal RNA (227 nucleotides) under uncultured bacterium. RNAcentral's name for it is "partial 16S ribosomal RNA". It matches the Rfam family "Bacterial small subunit ribosomal RNA", at positions 107 to 334 of the family's 1533-position model. The record is from RNAcentral.